UUGGCAGGGCGGCGGCUAUAAUGCAAGUCGAGCGCAGGAAGCAAGCUGAUCCCCUUCGGGGGUGACGCUUGUGGAAUGAGCGGCGGACGGGUGAGUAACACGUGGGCAACCUGCCUGUAAGACUGGAAUAACCCCGGGAAACCGGGGCUAAUACCGGAUAAUACUUUUCUUUGCAUAAAGGAAAGUUGAAAGGCGGCUUCGGCUGCCACUUACAGAUGGGCCCGCGGCGCAUUAACUAGUUGGUGAGGUAACGGCUCACCAAGGCGACGAUGCGUAGCCGACCUGAAAGGGUGAUCGGCCACACUGGGACUGAAACACGGCCCAGACUCCUACGGGAGGCAGCAGUAGGGAAUCUUCCGCAAUGGACGAAAGUCUGACGGAGCAACGCCGCGUGAGUGAUGAAGGUUUUCGGAUCGUAAAACUCUGUUGUUAGGGAAGAACAAGUUGGGUAGUAACUGACCCGGCCUUGACGGUACCUAACCAGAAAGCCCCGGCUAACUACGUGCCAGCAGCCGCGGUAAUACGUAGGGGGCAAGCGUUGUCCGGAAUUAUUGGGCGUAAAGCGCUCGCAGGCGGUCCUUUAAGUCUGAUGUGAAAUCUCGCGGCUCAACCGCGAACGGUCAUUGGAAACUGGAGGACUUGAGUACAGAAGAGGAGAGUGGAAUUCCACGUGUAGCGGUGAAAUGCGUAGAGAUGUGGAGGAACACCAGUGGCGAAGGCGACUCUCUGGUCUGUAACUGACGCUGAGGAGCGAAAGCGUGGGGAGCGAACAGGAUUAUAUACCCUGGUAGUCCACGCCGUAAACGAUGAGUGCUAGGUGUUAGGGGGUUCCGCCCCUUAUGCUGAAGUUAACGCAUUAAGCACUCCGCCUGGGGAGUACGGCCGCAAGGCUGAACUCAAAAGAAUUGACGGGGCCCGCACAAGCGGUGGGAGC
This 934-nucleotide ribosomal RNA is filed under the name Virgibacillus sp. RNAcentral describes it as "bacterial SSU rRNA". It matches the Rfam family "Bacterial small subunit ribosomal RNA", at positions 36 to 939 of the family's 1533-position model. Lineage: Bacteria; Bacillati; Bacillota; Bacilli; Caryophanales; Bacillaceae. The record is from RNAcentral.